RNAcentral lists this transfer RNA (72 nucleotides) under Ictidomys tridecemlineatus (thirteen-lined ground squirrel). Its description in RNAcentral is "Spermophilus tridecemlineatus (thirteen-lined ground squirrel) tRNA". It matches the Rfam family "tRNA". From Rfam's summary of the family: Transfer RNA (tRNA) molecules are approximately 80 nucleotides in length. The record is from Rfam by way of RNAcentral. Lineage: Eukaryota; Metazoa; Chordata; Mammalia; Rodentia; Sciuridae.
AGGGUUGUGGCUCCGUGGUAGAGCACUUGCUUAGCAUGUGAGAGGCACUGGGUUCGAUUCUCAGCACCACAU